This 1405-nucleotide ribosomal RNA is filed under the name uncultured Bordetella sp. RNAcentral describes it as "partial 16S-23S ribosomal RNA intergenic spacer". It matches the Rfam family "Bacterial small subunit ribosomal RNA". The record is from RNAcentral. Lineage: Bacteria; Pseudomonadati; Pseudomonadota; Betaproteobacteria; Burkholderiales; Alcaligenaceae.
AGUCGAACGCUGGCACGGACUUCGGUCUGGUGGCGAGUGGCGAACGGGUGAGUAAUGUCGGAACGUGCCUAGUAGCCAGGAUAACUACGUGAAAGCGUAGCUAAUACCACAUACGCCCUUCGAGAAAAGCGGGGGACCUUCGGGCCUCGCACUAUUAAACGGCCGAUAUCGGAUUAGCUAGUUGGUGGGGGGAACGGCUCACCAAGGCGACGAUCCGUAGCUGGUUUGAAGGACGACCAGCCACUACUGGGACUGAGACACGGCCAGACUCCUACGGAGGCAGCGGUGGAGAUUUUGGACAAUGGGGAAACCCUGAAUCAGUACAUCCCGCGUGUGCGAUGACCUUCGGGUUUGUAAAGCACUUUUGGCAGGAAGAAACGGCACGGGAUAAUACCCCGUGCAACUGACAGUACCUGCAGAAUAAGCACCGGCUAACUACGUGCCAGCAGCCGCGGUAAUGCAUGGGGUGCAAGCGUUAAUCGGAAUUACUGGGCGUAAAGUGCAUGAGCGGUUCGGAAAAAGAUGUGAAAUCCCAGAGCUUAACUUUGGAACUGCAUUUUUUUAACUACCGAGCUAGAGUGUGUCAGAGGUGGAAUUUCGCGAUAACGGUGAAAUGCGUAGAUAUGCUGGAAGGAACUUCGAUGGCGAGGCAGCCUCCUGGGGGAUAGCACUGACGCUCAUGCACAACGUGAGGCAAACAGGAUUAGAUACCCUGGUAGUCCACGCCCUAAACGAUGUCAACUAGCUGUUGGGGCCUUCGGGCCUGUGGCCAGCGCAGCUAACGCGUGAAGUUGACCGCCUGGAAGUACGGUCGCAAGAUUAAAACUCAAAGGAAUUGACGGGGACCCGCACAAGCGGUGGAUGAUGUGGAUUAAUUCGAUGCAACGCGAAAACCUUACCUACCCUUGACAUGUCUGGAAUCGAAGAGAUUUGGGAGUGCUCGCAAGAGGAGCCGGAACACAGGUGCUGCAUGGCUGUCGUCAGCUCGUGUGUCGUAGAUGUUGGGUUAAGUCCCGCAACAGGCGCAACCCUUGUCAUUAGUUGCUACGAAGGAGCACUCUAAUGAGACUGCCGACAAACCGGAGGAAGGUGGGGAUGACGUCAAGUCCUCAUGGCCCUUGUGGGUAGGGCCACGUCGCUGCAAUGGUCGGGACGGAAGGUCGCCAGCCCGCGAGGAAUAAUCCCAGAAACCCGAUCGUGGUCCGGAUCGCAGUCUGCAACUCGACUGCGUGAAGUCAGAAUCGCUAGUAAUCGCGGAUCGGCAUGUCGCGGUGAUACGUUCCCGGGUCUUGUAUUUUGCCGCCCGUCACACCGCAUGGGGAAUUAGGUUUGCAAGUAGUUAGCCUAACCGUAAGGAGGGCGAUUACCACAGUAGGAUUCGCGGCUGGGGUGAAGUCAUGAGUAA